RNAcentral lists this ribosomal RNA (234 nucleotides) under uncultured bacterium. Its description in RNAcentral is "partial 16S ribosomal RNA". It matches the Rfam family "Bacterial small subunit ribosomal RNA", at positions 524 to 757 of the family's 1533-position model. The record is from RNAcentral.
UACAGAGGGGGCAAGCGUUAUUCGGAAUUAUUGGGCGUAAAGGGCGCGUAGGCGGCCAUUCAAGUGACGGGUGAAAGCCCUCGGCUUAACCGAGGAACUGCCUGUCAGACUGGAUGGCUUGAGACCGGGAGAGGUGAGUGGAAUUCCCAGUGUAGCGGUGAAAUGCGUAGAUAUUGGGAGGAACACCAGUGGCGAAGGCGGCUCUCUGGACCGGUUCUGACGCUCAGGUGCGAA